UCGUUAACGAACGAGACCUCGACCUGCUAAAUAGUUGGGCGAAUCCUCCGGGAUUCGUAUUCAUUUAACCUCUUAGAGGGACUAUUGACUAUUAGUCAAUGGAAGUUUGAGGCAAUAACAGGUCUGUGAUGCCCUUAGAUGUUCUGGGCCGCACGCGCGCUACACUGAUCAAGUCAACGAGUUUACAACCUUGGCCGGAAGGUCUGGGUAAUCUUUUGAAACUUGAUCGUGCUGGGGAUAGUCCAUUGCAAUUAUUGGACUUCAACGAGGAAUUCCUAGUAAGCGUGAGUCAUCAGCUCGCGUUGAUUACGUCCCUGCCCUUUGUACACACCGCCCGUCGCUAAUACCGAUUGAAUGGUUG
Molecule: ribosomal RNA, 361 nt
Filed under: Eukaryota sp.
Lineage: Eukaryota
Description: SSU rRNA
Rfam family: Eukaryotic small subunit ribosomal RNA
Source: RNAcentral